This 72-nucleotide transfer RNA is filed under the name Saccoglossus kowalevskii. RNAcentral's name for it is "tRNA-Asp". It matches the Rfam family "tRNA". From Rfam's summary of the family: Transfer RNA (tRNA) molecules are approximately 80 nucleotides in length. Their secondary structure includes four short double-helical elements and three loops (D, anti-codon, and T loops). Further hydrogen bonds mediate the characteristic L-shaped molecular structure. tRNAs have two regions of fundamental functional importance: the anti-codon, which is responsible for specific mRNA codon recognition, and the 3' end, to which the tRNAs corresponding amino acid is attached (by aminoacyl-tRNA synthetases). tRNAs cope with the degeneracy of the genetic code in two manners: having more than one tRNA (with a specific anti-codon) for a particular amino acid; and 'wobble' base-pairing, i.e. permitting non-standard base-pairing at the 3rd anti-codon position. The record is from RNAcentral. Lineage: Eukaryota; Metazoa; Hemichordata; Enteropneusta; Harrimaniidae.
UCCUCGAUAGUAUAGUGGUGAGUAUCUCCGCCUGUCACGCGGAAGACCGGGGUUCAAUUCCCAGUCGGGGAG